RNAcentral lists this transfer RNA (72 nucleotides) under Vitis vinifera (wine grape). It matches the Rfam family "tRNA". Rfam says of the family: Transfer RNA (tRNA) molecules are approximately 80 nucleotides in length. Their secondary structure includes four short double-helical elements and three loops (D, anti-codon, and T loops). Lineage: Eukaryota; Viridiplantae; Streptophyta; Magnoliopsida; Vitales; Vitaceae. The record is from Rfam by way of RNAcentral.
GUGUUUAUUGUCCAAUGAUUAGGAUAAUUGCCUUCCAGGCAAUAGACUUGGGAUCAACUCUUGAAAAACACA